AAAUGUGGCUGUAAUUUACUCAUGGUCAUCUGCAGAAUCAUCAAUGUGCCACGCUCGUAUACAGCAUAUUUCACCUCUACCUUUUACUUUACCAGAACUAAAAAAAUAUUUGGAUUCAAAUAUUAACAAUUCAUAAUAUCAGUAUAGCAAUCAGUCAUUUUACCAGAAAAGGAUUGUGGAUAGUGAUGAUAAAUUUAAUAUCAUGUUAGCUUGUAAUGACAUCAUAAACGCUAUAGCUCACAACGUGAGGGUGGUACUCUGUUACAUGCAGAUAGAACAUUGUGCCAUCUUAUCUGCAUUAUAGGCAUCUAUUAACUAUGCGACUAAUUUCACAAAAUCACUGAGACAAUCCCUGUUGGCUUUGUAUUGAUGGAAGCUAAAAUUGAGGCUUUGUUCUAAAAGGUGUUCGUUCCUCAAUCAAACUUUUAAGGAAACGAGUAUUGAUUGAAAAGGGGAUAAGUGGAAAAAAAGAAAGGUACACUUUUGUUGGGAAACAUGGUACGUCCUUCAAAAAUCGAAUUAUGAAGUAUAUGACGAACAUAGUUAUCAUCAUAUCCAAAACGAUAACACAGAAUAGUCAAUCGCCGAGCUUGUAGUUUAAAAGUAAUAUAAUAAUGUUGAUCAUGUCAUUAUUAUUGUGCCCUCGCAAACAUUCGGUAUUAUUGUUUUGGCGCUUUUAUUAUUGUAUCCACCCUAACCGGAUAUUAUGACGCCAGAGCACUUAAAGCUAUUCUUGCCACUCCAAAAAAUCAGUUUCAUAAUAUUAUAUUAAACACUGCAGAACUACAAUUUGUACUAUAUUAUAUUUCAAAGCCAAAUAACAGACCAACCCAUUUUGCCUUUUAGAUGGCAGAAAUUUUUAUUUUUAUUUUUUGAACUAAGUUUGCCGAAUAAAGUAUCAUAUUUAAAUAAUUAUAUUAUAGUAGGGUACCUACAUUUAACGAAUAAUGAUAACUAUAGUUUGAAAAAAUAUAUGUGUUAAUAAUGCAACAAUUAUGAUUGGCUUAAUGUAUUUGUGUGAGAAACUAUUCCGGCAUUACAUAU
Molecule: long non-coding RNA, 1044 nt
Organism: Myzus persicae (green peach aphid)
Lineage: Eukaryota; Metazoa; Arthropoda; Insecta; Hemiptera; Aphididae
Exons: 4
Source: RefSeq, a predicted model, not a curated record